Odocoileus virginianus texanus is the source of this 483-nucleotide non-coding RNA. Lineage: Eukaryota; Metazoa; Chordata; Mammalia; Artiodactyla; Cervidae. The record is from RefSeq and is a predicted model, not a curated record.
GUGGGUGUGAGGAAGAAGAACACCCUGACCACUGCCGUGGGAGUGCCCAUGGAACCAGACACAUCCUCCACCGGGAUCCCCUAGGGACACAGGAAGGACAGGAGAGAAAACAGCUUCCUGGCUCCCUGCACACAAAGAGUGGGGCUGGUCAGCUCAUCCCUGCCUGGAACCCACUAUGGUGUCUCGUCAAGCUAACUGCCUACCCCAACAUCAGGACCACGGAAGAGGGAACUCCAUUCAAGUAUCCCCCUGGGGACCAGGUGGACUUCAGCGUGGACACGCAACAGGACAGGGAGAGGCAGCCUGCCUCCCUCCUCCCCAGCCCAGCCGGAGAAGAGGGUUGAGAAAAAAGCAGAGAGAGGAACCCAGGGCAGACUUCCCGGGCCCCAGGCUCGGGAGUGGGGGGGAACAGAGGGGUCUAAGUGGGUCCCCAAGUGGUCAACAGCAAGGGGCCACCCCGGCUUCUUCCCUCGGAACCCGUUA